Molecule: transfer RNA, 76 nt
Filed under: Spiroplasma sp.
Lineage: Bacteria; Bacillati; Mycoplasmatota; Mollicutes; Entomoplasmatales; Spiroplasmataceae
Also listed under: 3 other names
Description: tRNA-Val
Rfam family: tRNA
About the family: Transfer RNA (tRNA) molecules are approximately 80 nucleotides in length. Their secondary structure includes four short double-helical elements and three loops (D, anti-codon, and T loops). Further hydrogen bonds mediate the characteristic L-shaped molecular structure. tRNAs have two regions of fundamental functional importance: the anti-codon, which is responsible for specific mRNA codon recognition, and the 3' end, to which the tRNAs corresponding amino acid is attached (by aminoacyl-tRNA synthetases). tRNAs cope with the degeneracy of the genetic code in two manners: having more than one tRNA (with a specific anti-codon) for a particular amino acid; and 'wobble' base-pairing, i.e. permitting non-standard base-pairing at the 3rd anti-codon position.
Source: RNAcentral
GGAGUAUUAGCUCAGCUGGGAGAGCAAUUGCCUUACAAGCAAUAGGUCGGCGGUUCAAGUCCGUCAUACUCCACCA